Molecule: ribosomal RNA, 406 nt
Filed under: uncultured bacterium
Lineage: Bacteria
Description: partial 16S ribosomal RNA
Rfam family: Bacterial small subunit ribosomal RNA
Source: RNAcentral
AUUGAACGCUGGCGGCAGGCCUAACACAUGCAAGUCGAGCGAGCGGCGGACGGGUGAGUAUUGUCUGGGAAACUGCCUGAUGGAGGGGGAUAACAACUGGAAACGGUAGCUAAUACAGCAUACCAUCAGAUGUGCCCAGAUGGGAUUGGCUAGUGGGGGGGGUAUCGGCUCACCUAGGCGACGAUCCCUAGCGGGUCUGAGAGGAUGACCAGCCACACUGGAACUGAGACACGGUCCAGACUCCUACGGGAGGCAGCAGUGGGGAAUAUUGCACAAUGGGCGCAAGCCUGAUGCAGCCAUGCCGCGUGUAUGAAGAAGGCCUUCGGGUUGUAAAGUACUUUCAGCGGGGAGGCGUUACCCGCAGAAGAAGCACCGGCUAACUCCGUGCCAGCAGCCGCGGUAAUAC